ACUCAAAUGAAUAGACGGGGGCCCGCACAAGCAGCGGAGCGUGUGGUUUAAUUCGACGCAACGCGAAGAACCUUACCAGGGCUUGACAUGCCCCGUUCAGCCGGUGAAAGCCGGUGGCCCGCAAGGGCGAGGGGUGCAGGUGCUGCACGGCUGUCGUCAGCUCGUGCCGUGAGGUGUUGGGUUAAGUCCCGCAACGAGCGCAACCCCUGGCGCAAGUUACAUGUGUCUUGCGCGACUGCUGGUGGCAAGCCAGAGGAAGGCGGGGAUGACGUCAAGUCAGCGUGGCCCUGACGUCCUGGGCGACACACACGCUACAAUGGCCGGGACAACGCGCAGCGACACGGCGACGUGAAGCGAAUCGCUCAAACCCGGCCCCAGUUCAGAUUGCAGGCUGAAACCCGCCUGCAUGAAGGCGGAGUUGCUAGUAACCGCGGGUCAGCCAUACCGCGGUGAAUACGUUCCCGGGCCUUGUACACACCGCCCGU
Molecule: ribosomal RNA, 485 nt
Filed under: uncultured bacterium
Lineage: Bacteria
Description: partial 16S ribosomal RNA
Rfam family: Bacterial small subunit ribosomal RNA
Source: RNAcentral